CAACAAACUCCAUCGGAUUUAGGAAUGAUACAAAAUUUCUUCAUCUAACAAAGAAAGCCAAUUAUUGAGAUAGGUUACAAUGAAAAAAUGAAGGAUAUCAACAUGGGAAAUGAAAGGAAAUAAGAGAAUUGCUCAUAUGAUAUUAAAUUGUUGGAGGAUAAAAAUAUUUUUAAAACAAUAAGUGAGUAUUUUCACCAGUCUGUGAUAUGAACCAUUCGCUUGAUUCACCUUUUUCAAGGAGCUCUACAUGUCUGGAUGGCUGUCAGUGCUAAAUAGACAAAUCGCAGAGGUGGAACAAGCUAAUGCUUAAGCUUAACAUAUAAUAGGGAACGUUUUAG
This 338-nucleotide unclassified non-coding RNA is filed under the name Hevea brasiliensis (rubber tree). Lineage: Eukaryota; Viridiplantae; Streptophyta; Magnoliopsida; Malpighiales; Euphorbiaceae. The record is from RNAcentral.